Molecule: long non-coding RNA, 948 nt
Filed under: Cricetulus griseus (Chinese hamster)
Lineage: Eukaryota; Metazoa; Chordata; Mammalia; Rodentia; Cricetidae
Description: lncRNA (ENSCGRG00015041334.1)
Source: RNAcentral
UCCCCGGGGCUGGUGGUCCUGGCUUCUAUAAGAAAGCAGGUUGAGCAAGCCAUAGGGAGCAAGCCAGUGAGCAGCUCCCCUCCGUGGCCUCGGCAUCAGCUCAGGUUCCUUCCGCCUUUGAGUUCCUGUCCUGACUUUCUUCAAUGAUGAGCAGUGAUUUGAAAGCUUAAGCCAAAUAAACCGCUUCCUCUCCUCCACAUUGCUUUGGUCAUGGAGUUUCAUCACAGCAAUAGAAACCCCAACUCGCACAGCAGCCACGGUGUUUGCUUUUUCUGAGUGCUACGUCCUUCUAGUAACGACCUGCUACACUUCACUCGACAGUCUCCAUGUAGUGUGUGCAGUUAUAAGUGCUUUUGAAACCACUUUUUCUGUGGUUACGGCCUAUGUGUACCGUGUGCGUGCCUGGUUGGAGGAGGCCAGAGAAAAGAGUUGGAUCCCGCUGGAACUGAAAGGACAGUUAUGAGCCACCAUGUGGGUGCUGGGAACUGGAGCCAGGUCUUCUGAAGAAGCAGCAAGUAUCUCUCCAGCCCCUCAUCACUCUGAAUAUAAAGCACAUGUUCAGGCUGGUGGGAGAGCACAGUGACAAAGGCGCUUGCCUCUAAACCUGAGGACCCAAGUUCAAUCCCUGAGACCUCAUGGCAGAAGGAGAGAACCAACUUGAAAGAUGUACUUAUAUGUGUGUGGAUGCUUUGCCUGCUAUGGAUGUACGUCGGACACAUUGGUGCCUGGUACCUGCAGGGGUCAGAAAAGCUCCGUGAUCCCUGCGAAUUAUAGUCACAGGCAGUCGGGAGCCACUACGCGGGUGCCGGGGACUGAACCAGGGUCCCCUGCAAGAGCAGGUGGUGCUCUUAACCCUGAACUCUCUCUCCAGUCCCAUGUACACUCACUUACUCAAGGCGACAGCAGAGUGUCCUAGAGCGCCCACACGGAGGAUGACCAGCGGAGGCC